This 85-nucleotide transfer RNA is filed under the name compost metagenome. RNAcentral's name for it is "tRNA-Leu". It matches the Rfam family "tRNA". From Rfam's summary of the family: Transfer RNA (tRNA) molecules are approximately 80 nucleotides in length. The record is from RNAcentral.
GCGGACUUGGCGGAAUUGGUAGACGCCUCAGUUUUAGGUACUGAUAUCUACGGGUGUGAGAGUUCGAGUCUCUCUGUCCGCACCA